UAUACUUGCCGGCGUUAGCUCCUUUCCACAUUAGCCAAGCGGGUGUCGAAAGCGUUGAGCAUUUGGUUAAGGUUGAUAUUCAUAAAUUGCAACUGAUUCAACACUUGGUGCCGAUCUUGACUACCCCAUUCUUGCCCUCUUCUUUCUUUAUUAUCCGAUUUUUCCUCCAUCUCUUCACUCAAUGGCUCUUCUCUAGCCACUCUACUAUGAC
RNAcentral lists this long non-coding RNA (211 nucleotides) under Ricinus communis (castor bean). RNAcentral's name for it is "long non-coding RNA (RCOM_LNC000961)". The record is from RNAcentral. Lineage: Eukaryota; Viridiplantae; Streptophyta; Magnoliopsida; Malpighiales; Euphorbiaceae.